GAAAAGGUAGUUCUGUAACUCGGUAAAAGCAAAUUGAAGUUUUUCCACUCUUGUAAACGUCCUCUUAUAUCAACUUUCCUCAUUUCUACCAAUCAAUCAAGCAACUGCAAUUUCCAUGGCUCGAGAAAUUAGACGACCAAAUUUCAAGACCUAGCUCAAAUUAGCUAAAACGAAACUAAAGCUAUCCCCACUCCGACCCUCAUUCUUUUCCAUCAUUUCCUCGGCAAUCAAUCAAGCAACUUCAAUUUUUUUGGCUCAAGAACUCAUACAAAACAGCAACGAAACAUAAUAUACCAACUAAACUUCAACACCGAGCUCAAAUUAACUAAAAAAAACUAGCCGUGCGCACCUCAAUUCUCAUUCUUUUCCAUCACUCCAAAAAGAAAUUAAGGAAAAAAAAAAACAUUAAAACAACAUUAAAACCCUCUACAUGUCGAGCUUACCAGAUCGCGAUUGAAGAGCAGAUUGGUAUCUCUUCGAGGCAGAAGAUAGACGAGCACUCCACGAGUCAGCAUCCAUCUCUUAUCCUCAGUUAUCACUAUAUUUCUCUCUCAAUUACCCGAUACUAAAAAGCUACGAAAAUCAGUCAAGUCUCGCCCGAUUUGCUUCAAAAUCCGAUCUUUGAUUCAGAUUCAGACAGCAACCAAAAAAUUCGACUGAAUUGAACGAAAAAGAAUACCCGGAGUCAAUGACGAAGCAGAGAUGGUCGACGAUUACGGGGUAGGUUUUGUGUGUCUUGAUAGAGAGUGAGAUAUGUCGAGAGGAGAUUUUAUUUUUUUGUUAGUAAUUUUUGUUGUUGAAAAUAACUGGCAGGAGGUUUUUUUUGUCUUGACAGUACUCCGCUUUCUUUGUGUGUUGAAAAAGUUGGUGACGUGGAGGGUUAUGAUUGGUCAAGGAAUAAUUACAGUGUAGGAUAAAAGU
Molecule: long non-coding RNA, 921 nt
Filed under: Carica papaya (papaya)
Lineage: Eukaryota; Viridiplantae; Streptophyta; Magnoliopsida; Brassicales; Caricaceae
Description: long non-coding RNA (CPAP_LNC008830)
Source: RNAcentral